GACGAACGCUGGCGGCGUGCUUAACACAUGCAAGUCGAACGAAGUGGCGAACGGGUGAGUAACGAGUAAUCAACCGGCCCUUCAGAGGGGGACAACAGUUGGAAACGACUGCUAAUACCGCAUACUGAAGGAGGGGAUUGCGUCUGAUUAGCUAGUUGGAGGGGUAAUGGACACACAAGGAGAUGAUCAGUAGUCGGUCGUGGGGGAGGAGCGGCCACAAUGGCACUUAGACACGGCCCAGACUGCUACGUGAGGCAGCAGGGGGGAAUCUUCCGAAAUGGAGGAAAGUCUGACGGAGCAACGCCGAGUGAGUGAUGACGGCCUUCGGGUUGUAAAGCUCUGUUAAUCGGGACGCGGUACCGGAAUAGAAAGCAACGGCUAACUACGUGCCAGCCGCCGCGGUAAUUC
This 408-nucleotide ribosomal RNA is filed under the name uncultured bacterium. Its description in RNAcentral is "partial 16S ribosomal RNA". It matches the Rfam family "Bacterial small subunit ribosomal RNA", at positions 28 to 526 of the family's 1533-position model. The record is from RNAcentral.